UACGGAGGGUGCAAGCGUUAAUCGGAAUUACUGGGCGUAAAGCGCACGUAGGCGGAUUGUUAAGUCAGAUGUGAAAUCCCCGGGCUCAACCUGGGAACUGCAUUUGAUACUGGCUAGCUAGAGUCUCGUAGAGGGGGGUAGAAUUCCAGGUGUAGCGGUGAAAUGCGUAGAGAUCUGGAAGAAUACCAGUGGCGAAGGCGGCCCACUGGACGAAGACUGACGCUGAGGUGCGAAAGCGUGGGGAGCAAACAGG
RNAcentral lists this ribosomal RNA (253 nucleotides) under uncultured bacterium. RNAcentral's name for it is "partial 16S ribosomal RNA". It matches the Rfam family "Bacterial small subunit ribosomal RNA", at positions 524 to 776 of the family's 1533-position model. The record is from RNAcentral.